RNAcentral lists this ribosomal RNA (497 nucleotides) under uncultured bacterium. RNAcentral's name for it is "partial 16S ribosomal RNA". It matches the Rfam family "Bacterial small subunit ribosomal RNA", at positions 28 to 507 of the family's 1533-position model. The record is from RNAcentral.
GACGAGCGCUGGCGGCGUGCCUAAUACAUGCAAGUUGAGCGCUGAAGGUUGGUACUUGUACCAACUGGAUGAGCAGCGAACGGGUGAGUAACGCGUGGGGAAUCUGCCUUUGAGCGGGGGACAACAUUUGGAAACGAAUGCUAAUACCGCAUAAAAACUUUAAACACAAGUUUUAAGGUUGAAAGAUGCAAUUGCAUCACUCAAAGAUGAUCCCGCGUUGUAUUAGCUAGUUGGUGAGGUAAAGGCGCACCAAGGCGAUGAUACAUAGCCGACCUGAGAGGGUGAUCGGCCACCUUGGGACUGAGACACGGCCCAAACUCCUACGGGAGGCAGCAGUAGGGAAUCUUCGGCAAUGGACGAAAGUCUGACCGAGCAACGCCGCGUGAGUGAAGAAGGUUUUCGGAUCGUAAAACUCUGUUGGUAGAGAAGAACGUUGGUGAGAGUGGAAAGCUCAUCAAGUGACGGUAACUACCCAGAAAGGGACGGCUAACUACGUG